UACGGAGGGUGCUAGCGUUGUUCGGAAUCACUGGGCGUAAAGGGCGUGUAGGCGGUCUGUUAAGUCUGAUGUGAAAUCCCCUCGCUCAACGAGGGAACUGCGUCGGAUACUGGCAGACUCGAGUACCGGAGAGGAAGGUGGAAUUCCCGGUGUAGCGGUGAAAUGCGCAGAUAUCAGGAGGAACACCGGUGGCGAAGGCGGGUCUCUGGGCCGAUACUGACGCUGAGGAGCGAAAGCGUGGGGAGCGAACAGG
Molecule: ribosomal RNA, 253 nt
Filed under: uncultured bacterium
Lineage: Bacteria
Description: partial 16S ribosomal RNA
Rfam family: Bacterial small subunit ribosomal RNA
Source: RNAcentral